GAUGAACGCUGGCGGCGUGCCUAAUACAUGCAAGUCGAGCGAACGGACGAGAAGCUUGCUUUUCUGAUGUUAGCGGCGGACGGGUGAGUAACACGUGGAUAACCUACCUGUAAGACUGGGAUAACUUCGGGAAACCGGAGCUAAUACCGGAUAAUAUUUUGAACCGCAUGGUUCAAAAGUGAAAGACGGUCUUGCUGUCACUUAUAGAUGGAUCCGCGCUGCAUUAGCUAGUUGGUAAGGUAACGGCUUACCAAGGCAACGAUGCAUAGCCGACCUGAGAGGGUGAUCGGCCACACUGGAACUGAGACACGGUCCAGACUCCUACGGGAGGCAGCAGUAGGGAAUCUUCCGCAAUGGGCGAAAGCCUGACGGAGCAACGCCGCGUGAGUGAUGAAGGUCUUCGGAUCGUAAAACUCUGUUAUUGGGGAAGAACAUAUGUGUAAGUAACUGUGCACAUCUUGACGGUACCUAAUCAGAAAGCCACGGCUAACUACGUG
RNAcentral lists this ribosomal RNA (497 nucleotides) under uncultured bacterium. Its description in RNAcentral is "partial 16S ribosomal RNA". It matches the Rfam family "Bacterial small subunit ribosomal RNA", at positions 28 to 507 of the family's 1533-position model. The record is from RNAcentral.